AACGUAGGUGGCGAGCGUUAUCCGGAUUUACUGGGCGUAAAGGGCGCGUAGGCGGCCCGUCAAGUCCCGUGUGAAAGCCCCCGGCUCAACCGGGGAACGGCGCGGGAAACUAGCAGGCUUGAGUUCGGGAGAGGGAAGCGGAAUUCCGGGUGUAGCGGUGAAAUGCGUAGAUAUCUGGAGGAACACCGGAGGCGAAGGCGAAUCACUGGACCGCUUCUGACGCUGAGGCGCGAAAGCUAGGGGAGCAAACAGG
RNAcentral lists this ribosomal RNA (253 nucleotides) under uncultured bacterium. RNAcentral's name for it is "partial 16S ribosomal RNA". It matches the Rfam family "Bacterial small subunit ribosomal RNA", at positions 524 to 776 of the family's 1533-position model. The record is from RNAcentral.